UCCGGCAUAACGCCGGCAGUCUCCCUAGAGUGCCCAACUGAAUGGUGGCAACUAAGGACGAGGGUUGCGCUCGUUGCGGGACUUAACCCAACAUCUCACGACACGAGCUGACGACAGCCAUGCAGCACCUGUGCAUGCUCCCCUUGCGGGGUCGUCCCACUUUCAUGGUUCUACCACAUGCAUGUCAAGGCCAGGUAAGGUUCUUCGCGUUGCAUCGAAUUAAGCCACAUACUCCACCGCUUGUGCAGGCCCCCGUCAAUUUCUUUGAGUUUUAAUCUUGCGACCGUACUUCCCAGGCGGCGCAUUCAUCGCGUUAGCUUCGAUACUGAGAGCCUAGUUGCUCCCAACAUCCAGUUCGCAUCGUUUAGGGCGUGGACUAC
This 380-nucleotide unclassified non-coding RNA is filed under the name uncultured bacterium. RNAcentral's name for it is "contains 16S-23S intergenic spacer region". The record is from RNAcentral.